GACGUAGGGGGCCAGCGUUGCUCGGAAUUACUGGGCGUAAAGGGUUCGUAGGCGGUGUGGCAAGUCGGUAGUGAAAUCUCCAGGCUUAACUUGGAGGCUGCUGCCGAAACUGCCGUGCUAGAGUACGGGAGAGGCGAGUGGAAUUACAGGUGUAGCGGUGAAAUGCGUAGAUAUCUGUAGGAACACCCGUGGCGAAGGCGGCUCGCUGGACCGUUACUGACGCUGAGGAACGAAGGCCAGGGGAGCAAACGGG
RNAcentral lists this ribosomal RNA (253 nucleotides) under uncultured bacterium. RNAcentral's name for it is "partial 16S ribosomal RNA". It matches the Rfam family "Bacterial small subunit ribosomal RNA", at positions 524 to 776 of the family's 1533-position model. The record is from RNAcentral.